This 271-nucleotide ribosomal RNA is filed under the name uncultured bacterium. Its description in RNAcentral is "partial 16S ribosomal RNA". It matches the Rfam family "Bacterial small subunit ribosomal RNA", at positions 88 to 354 of the family's 1533-position model. The record is from RNAcentral.
CCGGCGACCGGCGCACGGGUGAGUAACACGUAUGCAACCUGCCCUCCGCAGGGGGAUAACCCGGAGAAAUCCGGACUAAUACCGCGUGGUACAUCUGUGGGGCAUCCCACGGGUGUUAAAAGGAAGCGAUUCCGGCGGAGGAUGGGCAUGCGGCGCAUUGGCUAGUUGGCGGGGUAACGGCCCACCAAGGCGACGAUGCGUAGGGGUUCUGAGAGGAAGGUCCCCCACACUGGUACUGAGACACGGACCAGACUCCUACGGGAGGCAGCAG